Molecule: ribosomal RNA, 519 nt
Filed under: uncultured Glomus
Lineage: Eukaryota; Fungi; Glomeromycota; Glomeromycetes; Glomerales; Glomeraceae
Description: SSU rRNA
Rfam family: Eukaryotic small subunit ribosomal RNA
Source: RNAcentral
CAGCCGCGGUAUUCCAGCUCCAAUAGCGUAUAUUAAAGUUGUUGCAGUUAAAAAGCUCGUAGUUGAAUUUCGGGAUCAAUUAAUUGGUCGUGCCUCUGGUACGUACUGAUUUUAUUGGUUUCUCCCUUCUGACGAACCAUCAUGUCAUUAAUUUGAUGUGGUGGAGAAUCAGGACUGUUACUUUGAAAAAAUUAGAGUGUUUAAAGCAAGCUAACGCUUGAAUACAUUAGCAUGGAAUAAUGAAAUAGGACGUUUGAUCCUAUUUUGUUGGUUUCUAGGAUCGACGUAAUGAUUAAUAGGGAUAGUUGGGGGCAUUAGUAUUCAAUUGUCAGAGGUGAAAUUCUUGGAUUUAUUGAAGACUAACUACUGCGAAAGCAUUUGCCAAGGAUGUUUUCAUUAAUCAAGAACGAAAGUUAGGGGAUCGAAGACGAUCAGAUACCGUCGUAGUCUUAACCAUAAACUAUGCCGACUAGGGAUCGGAUGAUGUUAAUUUUUUAAUGACUCAUUCGGCGCCUUACG